CCUUUGAAGCUAUACAAAACAAAGGGCACACGUAUUCAAAUCGCUCUUCUAAAAUUCAUCUUUCUAACCAUUUUUUAAGUUCUUCUCUUCUCUCAUGGCAUGGGUGUACAAACAUGUAUAGGGACAUGCAAAAAAUAUCCUGAUUGCAAUGGUGUAUGCAAGAAACAAGGCUAUGUCAUAGGAUUUUGUGUCCCCAACAUUUCCUUGCCUGUUGGAAAUUACAAUUGAUGUUGUGCUAAAGAUUCUCAAGAAUAGCUUUGUAUUUC
This is a non-coding RNA of Lupinus albus (white lupine), 266 nucleotides long. The record is from the annotation of a GenBank genome assembly. NCBI's taxonomy places the organism in Eukaryota, Viridiplantae, Streptophyta, Magnoliopsida, Fabales, Fabaceae.